GGCUCAGGAUGAACGCUAGCUACAGGCUUAACACAUGCAAGUCGAGGGGCAGCAUAUUGAUAGCUUGCUAUCAGUGAUGGCGACCGGCGCACGGGUGAGUAACGCGUAUCCAACCUUCCCAUGUCCACGGGAUAGCCCGUCGAAAGGCGGAUUAAUACCGUAUGAGGUCACAUGCGGGCAUCUAAGUGUGACGAAAGGUUUUGCGGACAUGGAUGGGGAUGCGUCCGAUUAGCUGGUUGGCGGGGUAACGGCCCACCAAGGCGACGAUCAGUAGGGGUUCUGAGAGGAAAGUCCCCCACAUUGGAACUGAGACACGGUCCAAACUCCUACGGGAGGCAGCAGUGAGGAAUAUUGGUCAAUGGGCGGAAGCCUGAACCAGCCAAGUAGCGUGCAGGACGACGGCCCUAUGGGUUGUAAACUGCUUUUAUGCGGGGAUAAAGUGGGCCACGUGUGGCCUUUUGCAGGUACCGCAUGAAUAAGGACCGGCUAAUUCCGUG
This 497-nucleotide ribosomal RNA is filed under the name uncultured bacterium. RNAcentral describes it as "bacterial SSU rRNA". It matches the Rfam family "Bacterial small subunit ribosomal RNA", at positions 21 to 507 of the family's 1533-position model. The record is from RNAcentral.